This 850-nucleotide ribosomal RNA is filed under the name uncultured bacterium. Its description in RNAcentral is "bacterial SSU rRNA". It matches the Rfam family "Bacterial small subunit ribosomal RNA", at positions 28 to 881 of the family's 1533-position model. The record is from RNAcentral.
GAUGAACGCUGGCGGCGUGCCUAACACAUGCAAGUCGAGCGGACCAAUGCCCAUUUCAGCUUUGCUGAUUUGAGCAACGGUUAGCGGCGGACGGGUGAGUAACGCGUGGGCAACCUGCCCUGUGCAGGGGGAUAACACAGCGAAAGCUGUGCUAAUACCCCAUAAGACUACGCUAUCGCAUGAUAGAGUAGUCAAAGCUUUAGCGGCACAGGAUGGGCCCGCGUCUGAUUAGCUAGUUGGUGGGGUAACGGCCUACCAAGGCGACGAUCAGUAGCCGACCUGAGAGGGUGAUCGGCCACACUGGAACUGAGACACGGUCCAGACUCCUACGGGAGGCAGCAGUGGGGAAUAUUGCACAAUGGGGGAAACCCUGAUGCAGCAACGCCGCGUGAGCGAAGAAGGCCUUCGGGUCGUAAAGCUCUGUCCUAAGGGAAGAAGUAUGACGGUACCUUAGGAGGAAGCCCCGGCUAACUACGUGCCAGCAGCCGCGGUAAUACGUAGGGGGCGAGCGUUAUCCGGAAUCACUGGGCGUAAAGGGUGCGUAGGCGGCCGAGUAAGCCAGAGGUGAAAGGCUACGGCUUAACCGUAGUAAGCCUUUGGAACUACUUGGCUUGAGUGCAGGAGAGGAGAGUGGAAUUCCUAGUGUAGCGGUGAAAUGCGUAGAUAUUAGGAGGAACACCAGUGGCGAAGGCGACUCUCUGGACUGUAACUGACGCUGAGGCACGAAAGCGUGGGGAGCAAACAGGAUUAGAUACCCUGGUAGUCCACGCCGUAAACGAUGAGUGCUAGGUGUCGGGGGUUCACACCCUCGGUGCCGGAGUUAACGCAAUAAGCACUCCGCCUGGGGAGU